Molecule: ribosomal RNA, 497 nt
Filed under: uncultured bacterium
Lineage: Bacteria
Description: partial 16S ribosomal RNA
Rfam family: Bacterial small subunit ribosomal RNA
Source: RNAcentral
GAUGAACGCUGGCGGCGUGCCUAAUACAUGCAAGUCGAGCGAACGGACGAGAAGCUUGCUUCUCUGAUGUUAGCGGCGGACGGGUGAGUAACACGUGGAUAACCUACCUAUAAGACUGGGAUAACUUCGGGAAACCGGAGCUAAUCCCGGAUAAUAUUUUGAUCCGCAUGGUUCAAAAGUGAAAGACGGUCUUGCUGUCACUUAUAGAUGGAUCCGCGCUGCAUUAGCUAGUUGGUAAGGUAACGGCUUACCAAGGCAACGAUGCAUAGACGACCUGAGAGGGUGAUCGGCCACACUGGAACUGAGACACGGACCAGACUCCUACGGGAGGCAGCAGUAGGGAAUCUUCCGCAAUGGGCGAAAGCCUGACGGAGCAACGCCGCGUGAGUGAUGAAGGUCUUCGGAUCGUAAAACUCUGUUAUUAGGGAAGAACAUAUGUGUAAGUAACUGUGCACAGCUUGACGGUACCUAAUCAGAAAGCCACGGCUAACUACGUG